Molecule: transfer RNA, 76 nt
Filed under: Escherichia coli
Lineage: Bacteria; Pseudomonadati; Pseudomonadota; Gammaproteobacteria; Enterobacterales; Enterobacteriaceae
Description: tRNA-Lys
Rfam family: tRNA
About the family: Transfer RNA (tRNA) molecules are approximately 80 nucleotides in length. Their secondary structure includes four short double-helical elements and three loops (D, anti-codon, and T loops).
Source: RNAcentral
GGGUCGUUAGCUCAGUUAAUAGAGCAGUUGACUUUUAAUCAAUUGGUCGCAGGUUCGAAUCCUGCACGACCCACCA